Long non-coding RNA from Lycium barbarum (goji berry), 3002 nucleotides. RefSeq lists it as uncharacterized. Lineage: Eukaryota; Viridiplantae; Streptophyta; Magnoliopsida; Solanales; Solanaceae. The transcript has 2 exons. The record is from RefSeq and is a predicted model, not a curated record.
UGUUGCUUGCUUAUAAGCUCAUUUUUUUUAAUUUGGAUUAGGCAGUUGCUAUUUGGCUAAGUGUAUGUUAGUUAAACAUUGGUCUGUUUUCUUUGCCACUUAACUUGAUCUUUGAUUAAUCAUAUUUACACCCCUAUCAAUUAAGCAAACAUGUAUGUAUAUGUGUGUGUGUGCUAUUUGAGUAUGUUGAAGCCCAUGACAUGAUUUGUGUGACUAUGUGCUGGCUUUGGCUGUUCUGCCACAUUAAGUGUAGUAUGAAUAAAAGAUAAUAGUAAUUUUUUGAAUUUAAGACAUGUCCCAGUUCUGAGAGGAGGUUAUUGUUCUCAACUGAUUAGGAGUUUAAAAGUUCAAGUAUUUGCUUGGUCCUAGUAAGCAUGAAAAGGGGAGGGCUACAUAUGCUUACUUGUUAAAAUAUUAUUUGGAAAAUCUAAAUGCCAAGCUAGUAAAUUAAGAUAGCCUUCAUAUAUAACUGGUAUGUAUGACUGAUAAUGAAACAAUAACAAAAAUGGCUUUAAGACUUCUUGUCCUGGUUGGUCACUUAGUGUUGGCCAUUUGCCCACCAUCAUAAUAUCUAGAACUGAGUGUAGCAUCAUGAUGUCUGAUUUAGUUCUCUUUAAGAAAUCCCUUAAACUUGUUACAUCACUGAUGAAUCUUGUCAAAGUUUUCACAAAAUGAGGCUAAUAUCUUUACAUUAAGACAUAAAAAGGUGAUACAUCACAUUCUUUUGGUAUAAGAUGGUUAUCAGUGCCUCUUUUAAGUCUAAGUCCCUUUGUUGUUAUUUGAAAUAUCAAACUGUCAUGGUGAAAGUAAGAUUGGUUUUGCUAUACUUGCUGCAUACUGUCAGGUGUUAUAAAUUGUUGAGAUUAAAGAAAAGAAUAAGAAAUGUACUUGCUGGCUUCUGGUAAAAGACUACAAGAUAACUCAAACUUGGAAGUCAAUUUAUGUCCUUAUUUUGUCUAAACAAAGUUUAGUUUCUGAACUGGUUUACCUCAAGUGCCAUCUCAGAUGUCUUUCACCAAUUGGUUCAAUUGUCUAAAUGGUAAAAUAGUUAGCUGCUCGAACAGUUUAACUACCCAUUUUUUCAGUUUUAUCUCUGAAGAUUAAUGUUACAUCCCGUAUUUUUGAACGUCGAAUUAUUUGUAAGCUGAGGUGGGGCCCACACGUCAAGAUUUUUUUUUUUGGGACAUGUGACAAAUUAUAUGAAUCACAUAUGUGAAGUUAAACACAACUCAAGAAGGACCCUUGGGCCAAAUCAAAGUGGAAGUCCUCCAAACGAAUAUUUUUAAGAAAACGUUUUCGGGUGACCUGACUUUGGGGGGCAAAAACGGUAUUAUAUGUUUGGAAUUUGGAAAAAUACCAAGAAUUAGAAGUUGUAGAUAAUUGAAUUAUCUUUCCAACCAUAGGUCGUGGGUUCCCAGGUGACGUCGGUACAAGGAGAUAUGGACGUUUUAAGGUCGAAAGGUCAGUGGGCUAGGCCCAACUCGGGACCAACCGAGUUGGCCCAAAAAAAUGAAAAGAAAAAUUUAGGCCCAAGGUGAGAGGGUGGCCGGCCAUACCUGGUCCAAGCCCACCAAAUUAAUUAAUUUCCAUGUGGCAAAUUAAUUAUAAAGGGAUCAUUAUCCCUUAGAUGAUUCAAGAAACUUAGAAGGAGAAAGAACAAACAAAACAAGAGCAAAAAAAAGGGCCAUUUCGGGUUUGGCCAUAGAAAAUUCACCCCUCCAAAUCUUCCUCCAAAAAUUAUUUUCUUGUGGUAUUCCUACUAAUUUAAGGGUCCUUUACAACUUGGUGUAAUUGUUUUGGAAGAAGGAGCACUUAUUUCUUCAAGUUGACAACUUGUUCAAGUGAAGGAGUUGUAGAAAAAGGUAAGAAUCAAUUUCUUUUUCUUAUGUUAUGAAGGUUUGUUUAUGUUGUGGUAUGUGGAAAUGAGUAGAAAUUAUGGAAAUAAGGAAGUUUGCAAAGUGGGUAUGUAUAUAUAUAUGUAGCCAUGAGUGUAUAUAUGUUGUAUACAUAUAUGAGUUGAAUUUUAUGUUGUAUUAGUUGUGGUUAUGGUGAAAAUUAUAUUGGGAAUGAAAGUUGAAUGAAUUUUGGUUGAAGUUGGAAUGUAGAAGAUUAUGUCACUUUAGAAUGAUUUUGUGAUAUUAUGGAAAUGAAGUUGUUAAGAUGUGAAUUAUGAUUAUGGUUGAUGAAAUUGGAAGAUGGAAAUAUGUUAUGAAUAUGUAGGUUGAAGAUUUGAAGUUUUGGGUGAAUUAUGUUUUGGUGGAAAGUUUGUAUAUUUUGUAUAUCUUGUGAAUAUUUCGUAGAAAUGAUAUGAAAUAUUUCCAAAUUAUAUUGUGAUGAUCUAGAUUAAUGAUGAAUGUGAAACCAUUGAGAUUAGUUUGGAAAUUGAAGUUGAAAUGAAGGUUAUGACAUUAUGUUGGAAAGAUAGCUAGUUAAGUUAUAUUGUGUUUAUAGUGAUUGUUGUUGUUGUUGAUGUUGUUGUUGGGUUGUUGUUGAUUGUUUUGGCCGAGUUAAAUUCUCGGGGAUGCUAUAUGUAUAGGGGAGAUGCUGCCCAAAUUUCUGUAGGCAAUUAUGAAUAAAGAUUGAAUACUUAAAGAUUGGAAAUUGAGAAUUGGUAAAUGUGACCAAUUGCAGAUUUUGGGCGAAACGGGAAUUGAAUUUGGAAAGGCGUAAAGAGCAUAUAAGGUACCGACGACAGGUUUGCUGAUCCGUCCGCUUAGGAUCUUAUUCUGCUAUUUUGGAGCGCUCCUUUAUCCGGAGCCUAUAUUUUGGUACAAUCUUCUGCUAUUGUAUAUAUGUACGCUAUUCAGGGGUACGACGGGGCCCUGUCCCAUCUUAUGAUUCUGUUAUGUUCUGUAGAGGUCUGUAGACAGACUUGUGUGGGUUCUGUAUAUGUUUUGGGUUGUUAUGAUCGGUGAUGGCCUUAUCGGCCUCUACGUGCAAAAUCUGUUCAUCUGUGAUAUUUAGUAGCGCCAACUAACCUUUAUAUUAAUAUAUUUUGAUAA